Molecule: long non-coding RNA, 349 nt
Organism: Peromyscus eremicus (cactus mouse)
Lineage: Eukaryota; Metazoa; Chordata; Mammalia; Rodentia; Cricetidae
Exons: 3
Source: RefSeq, a predicted model, not a curated record
CCCCACAAUCCUGCAAUACGGGGAUUUUCCCUGGUUACACAGGCUCAGGAAAGGGAUGGCUUGCCCAGCAGAUCAUAGUCGUGAGCUGUCCCUGGAAAUGAUGGGAAGUCAGAUGGAGGAAGAGUGGGAAGACCGCUAGAUGUCCCAGUACCUUCCUGGAAAGAACACAUGCCUUCAGGACUUGUGGCUGAUAAGGCCAGAGGGAGAAAGACGUUUACAAUCACCCAACAUCUGAAGCCUUGCCCAGCCUCCAACAGGCUAUGAGAAGUGGGUUGUAAAUGGACGUUUCCAUGUCCUGACUACCUGUUCCUAAAUACCCAGCAGCUGCUUCCCAAAUUAUCACACAGAG